RNAcentral lists this long non-coding RNA (450 nucleotides) under Homo sapiens (human). RNAcentral's name for it is "non-protein coding lnc-NPAS4-8:1". Lineage: Eukaryota; Metazoa; Chordata; Mammalia; Primates; Hominidae. The record is from RNAcentral.
UCUCAAAAAAAAAAAAAAAAAAGUAGUCCCCUAUCGAUGGACAUUUACGUUAGAUUGUUUCCAAUCUAGAAAAAAGUACAAAAAGAAAAAAAAGCAUAAAAUAAACAAGAAACAAAAACAAACACAAAAAUAAAAUAGAUGAUUUCCAUUCAUCUGUUAUUAUAAAUAAUGGUGCAAUGAAUAACAUUUGGGAGUUUAUCUGUAGGUGAAAUUCCUAGAAGUGGAAAUGCUUUCGAGGAUAUAUACAGCUAAAUUUUUUUUACACCUGUAAUUUUAAUAGAUGCUGCUAAAUUGCUCUCCACAGAGAUUGCACCAGUUCACAGUUCCACCAGCUAUAUAUGUUGGUGCCUGUUAUCCAGCCAGCAGGAUGUUGUUAAAUGUUUUGUUCUUUUUUUUUUUUUUUUUGAGACAGAGUUUUGCUCUUGUUGCCCAGGCUGGAGUGCAAUGGCG